UAAACUGAGGUAUACUAUGGUACAACGU
Molecule: non-coding RNA, 28 nt
Filed under: Rattus norvegicus (Norway rat)
Lineage: Eukaryota; Metazoa; Chordata; Mammalia; Rodentia; Muridae
Source: RNAcentral